GCGGUGCUGCAAGGCGUAUGCUUACAUAACUCAGGCGCCCGCCUCCGAAAACCACCUCACAAUCAGCGUCUUGAGGCAUUUCUUGCUUGCCUCACUAUGAGGCAGGCCGUAAGACGAGUUUCAAUUGUAUUAUUUAAAUCCAUGCAUAUAAUGGCCUUAGUGAGUUGACGUAGAGGGUAUCUUGCGGCAAGCUGCAGAUGUUGAUGAUGUUGAACGUCGAAUAAGAGAUUAUGAACAGGGGAAAAGCGACUUUUCUCCUGAGGAGGAUCCACAUGUGAUAGCCGACUGUGUCAAGUAUGUUAUUCGGGAAUUACCAUCGUCACCAGUACCUGCUUCUUGCUGCAAUGCACUCCUUGAAGCAUUUAGUAAGUUGUUUUUCUUUUCUUCAUUUUUAUUUAUUUAUUUAUUAUUAUUUUAUUUUUUCUGGUAUCUUGGAGUUUGAUUUCUUUUAUCCUGUUUUUCUUACAUUUUAAGUGAAAUAUUGAGUAGUUGAAGAAAAAUGGAGAAGGGAAUUCACUUUCUUUCAUCAAUGAAAAAGUAUGUGCAUAAUUCUCUUGAUGGCAUAGUGUAUUUGUUGGAUUAAAUACUGGCCAUUUAAUGAUUGCAUGUUAAACUCAAAUCUCCUUUCAUUUAGUU
This is a long non-coding RNA of Olea europaea var. sylvestris, 636 nucleotides long. RefSeq lists it as uncharacterized. NCBI's taxonomy places the organism in Eukaryota, Viridiplantae, Streptophyta, Magnoliopsida, Lamiales, Oleaceae. The record is from RefSeq and is a predicted model, not a curated record. The transcript is spliced from 4 exons.